CACGUAGGGGGCAAGCGUUGUCCGGAUUUAUUGGGCGGAAAGAGCUCGUAGGCGGGGGGUCGAGUCGGCCGUGAAAACCUGCAGCUUAACUGUGGGCUUGCGGUCGAUACGGGCAUCACUGGAGUUCGGCAGGGGAGACUGGAAUUCCUGGUGUAGCGGUGAAAUGCGCAGAUAUCAGGAGGAACACCGGUGGCGAAGGCGGGUCUCUGGGCCGAUACUGACGCUGAGACGCGAAAGCGUGGGGAGCAAACAGG
Molecule: ribosomal RNA, 254 nt
Filed under: uncultured bacterium
Lineage: Bacteria
Description: partial 16S ribosomal RNA
Rfam family: Bacterial small subunit ribosomal RNA
Source: RNAcentral